GAUGAACGCUGGCGGCGUGCCUAAUACAUGCAAGUAGAACGCUGAAGGAAGGAGCUUGCUCUUUCCGGAUGAGUUGCGAACGGGUGAGUAACGCGUAGGUAACCUGCCUGGUAGCGGGGGAUAACUAUUGGAAACGAUAGCUAAUACCGCAUAACAGUAGAUGUUGCAUGAUAUCUACUUAAAAGGUGCAAUUGCACCACUACCAGAUGGACCUGCGUUGUAUUAGCUAGUUGGUGAGGUAACGGCUCACCAAGGCGACGAUACAUAGCCGACCUGAGAGGGUGAUCGGCCACACUGGGACUGAGACACGGCCCAGACUCCUACGGGAGGCAGCAGUAGGGAAUCUUCGGCAAUGGGCGGAAGUCUGACCGAGCAACGCCGCGUGAGUGAAGAAGGGUUUCGGAUCGUAAAGCUCUGUUGUAAGAGAAGAACGAGUGUGAGAGUGGAAAGUUCACACUGUGACGGUAUCUUACCAGAAAGGGACGGCUAACUACGUG
RNAcentral lists this ribosomal RNA (497 nucleotides) under uncultured bacterium. Its description in RNAcentral is "partial 16S ribosomal RNA". It matches the Rfam family "Bacterial small subunit ribosomal RNA", at positions 28 to 507 of the family's 1533-position model. The record is from RNAcentral.